This 2264-nucleotide long non-coding RNA is filed under the name Jatropha curcas. RNAcentral's name for it is "long non-coding RNA (JCUR_LNC001873)". The record is from RNAcentral. Lineage: Eukaryota; Viridiplantae; Streptophyta; Magnoliopsida; Malpighiales; Euphorbiaceae.
UAAAAAAUGCAUCUUUUUUAUUGGAAAGUUUAUGAAUUUUACAAUUUUUUUUCCUGAUUUUGUUAUUGUGCAUAUAAUAUUCAAUUAUAGGGUAUCUUUUUGAGGGUCACCUUACCGUGGAUCCUGAGCCACCAGAGCCUCUGUGGCUGUUGCAGUCAAACUUAAUGCGAGCAGCCUCUAUUUUGGAGGCUGAAUCCGCUGGAGGUCCAUCCGACCAUAAUAACACGACGAGAAAUGCUUCCGCUAUGCUAGAAGAGCUCAUAAGCAACCUUGAUGACAUUAUACCUGAGGUAGAAUUCAGCUCCUCAAGUUUGUCCUUUUGAAUUAAACCUUAUGGUUUUAAUUUUUUCCCCGAGGAAAUAAUAGGAAUUAACUUAAUUAUGUAAUUAAUUUAACUGUUUAGUUUGAAACUUUUAGCAGUGUUCGAUGUUUUCACGUUCUGUUUUUAAAUCUUAAUGGUGUUUGGAGUUUACAUUCAGAUGGAUUCGUCCUUUGAAUCCAUAUUUUUAUCUGAUUUAAUUUAAUGAUGUGUGGUUAAUGGAACUGAUGUUUUGUUCAAGGAAUUAACAUUGGGCUCAUUUUAAUAUUUCUGUCUUUAAGAUUAUGGUUCCAGACAAUGAAUCUAGAGUUCCAAAAGCGCCUCCCGCCAGUAAAGAGGUUGUUGCAAAGCUUCCAGUCAUUACUCUCACGGAGGAAAUCUUGGCCAGGCUUGGACAAGAUGCAGAGUGUGCAAUUUGUAAGGAGAAUUUGGUGGUUAAUGAUAAGAUGCAAGAGUUGCCUUGCAAGCACACAUUCCAUCCUCCUUGUCUAAAGCCAUGGCUGGUAAGCUUCUUGAUUGUGUUAACAUUUGCUUUUCAGUACUGUCAAAUACUUGAGCUGCAUAUGACAAAUACUAUCAAACAAUGCAUGUUUCUGAUUGGAAGCAACCUUUGCACAGGAUGAGCAUAAUUCUUGUCCAAUUUGCCGGCAUGUUUAAAUAUUUAAUUUAUCUAAUUUUAUAAAUUAUAAAAUUAUAUUGAUCGAAAAUUUUUAAAGUAAAAAUAUCUAAUAAAUAUAAUUUUAUAAAUUUAAAUAUUCAAUAAAUAUCAUAAUAAUAAGGUAUACUAGAAAUAUAAUUUUUCAAUUUUUUAUCAUUAAUAAUUUAUUAAUAAUUAUCUUUUAAUUCAUCGAUAGAUUUAAAUAGUUGAAAUAUUAUUAUAAUUACAUAAUAAAAAUAAAAUCUCUUCCGCUUGAAGAGAAUUUGAAUCCAAUCCACUUUUCUCCUGUUAAAUAUUUUGUUUUUUAGCCCAUUAAAAUUUUUCAUUAUAAAAAAAUCAUUUUUAUUGGAUGAAUUUGUUUUUUUUAAUUUUCAGAAUGAAAAUUUGACAAUUCUAGAAUCCUUUCCGCGUUAGAAAUAUAAUAACAGACCAAACCAUUACUCAAACAGGCCCUGGUUUCCCCUUCGCUAAGAAAAAGAAUAUCAUAAAUUCAGAACAGAAAUUCAACACAGCAAAAAUUGAAGCUUUUGUAAGUUCCAGAUUUUGAAUUGCGAGAAAACAAAAAUGGCAUCAUCUGAGGAAGGAUUGAAACAGCAAUUAGAAGAAUUGCAGAAACAGCUGGGAAAGAAACAGAAGUUCGAAGAUGCUGUAUCUUCUAUCAAAUCCCUUUUCCUAAAGUUCUACCCUUCUGCUUCCACCUCUCUUCGCAAAACAGUAAGCCUCUUUCUUCUCCUUCAAGUUGAGAUCGAUUUCGUUUCUAAAUUUUAAAUCAUUUUAGAAUUCCGGUGUUGAAUUGCAGUUCUAUACUGUUAUUUGUCGAGUAGCGACGAUUUUAAAAACGAGAUACACAGCGCCUGGUUUCUGGCACGCCGGAUUAGGGCUAUUUGAGCAAGCAGAAGUCUUGGUUUCUGAUUCAUCUGAAAAGGAGCAUUUGAAGAAUUGUAUUGCCCAAGCCAAAGAACAAUUGAAUCUGGCCCAAAAUCCUCCUGACGUUUCCUCGAGUUCCUCUCGUGGAGGUUGAAUUUCUGUAAAAAAUGCAUCUUUUUUAUUGGAAAGUUUAUGAAUUUUACAAUUUUUUUUCCUGAUUUUGUUAUUGUGCAUAUAAUAUUCAAUUAUAGGGUAUCUUUUUGAGGGUCACCUUACCGUGGAUCCUGAGCCACCAGAGCCUCUGUGGCUGUUGCAGUCAAACUUAAUGCGAGCAGCCUCUAUUUUGGAGGCUGAAUCCGCUGGAGGUCCAUCCGACCAUAAUAACACGACGAGAAAUGCUUCCGCUAUGCUAGAAGAGCU